RNAcentral lists this ribosomal RNA (1369 nucleotides) under Nocardia sp. Its description in RNAcentral is "bacterial SSU rRNA". It matches the Rfam family "Bacterial small subunit ribosomal RNA". The record is from RNAcentral. Lineage: Bacteria; Bacillati; Actinomycetota; Actinomycetes; Mycobacteriales; Nocardiaceae.
UGCUUACACAUGCAGUCGAGCGGUAAGGCCCUUCGGGGUACACGAGCGGCGAACGGGUGAGUAACACGUGGGUGAUCUGCCUCGCACUCUGGGAUAAGCCUGGGAAACUGGGUCUAAUACCGGAUAUGAGCAUGGUCUGCAUGGACUGUGUUGGAAAGGUUUACUGGUGCGAGAUGGGCCCGCGGCCUAUCAGCUUGUUGGUGGGGUAACGGCCUACCAAGGCGACGACGGGUAGCCGGCCUGAGAGGGCGACCGGCCACACUGGGACUGAGACACGGCCCAGACUCCUACGGGAGGCAGCAGUGGGGAAUAUUGCACAAUGGGCGAAAGCCUGAUGCAGCGACGCCGCGUGAGGGAUGACGGCCUUCGGGUUGUAAACCUCUUUCGACAGGGACGAAGCGCAAGUGACGGUACCUGUAGAAGAAGCACCGGCCAACUACGUGCCAGCAGCCGCGGUAAUACGUAGGGUGCGAGCGUUGUCCGGAAUUACUGGGCGUAAAGAGCUUGUAGGCGGUCUGUCGCGUCGAUUGUGAAAACUCACAGCUCAACUGUGAGCCUGCAGUCGAUACGGGCAGACUAGAGUACUUCAGGGGAGACUGGAAUUCCUGGUGUAGCGGUGAAAUGCGCAGAUAUCAGGAGGAACACCGGUGGCGAAGGCGGGUCUCUGGGAAGUAACUGACGCUGAGAAGCGAAAGCGUGGGUAGCGAACAGGAUUAGAUACCCUGGUAGUCCACGCCGUAAACGGUGGGUACUAGGUGUGGGUUUCCUUCCACGGGAUCCGUGCCGUAGCUAACGCAUUAAGUACCCCGCCUGGGGAGUACGGCCGCAAGGCUAAAACUCAAAGGAAUUGACGGGGGCCCGCACAAGCGGCGGAGCAUGUGGAUUAAUUCGAUGCAACGCGAAGAACCUUACCUGGGUUUGACAUACACCGGAAAGCCGUAGAGAUACGGCCCCCCUUGUGGUCGGUGUACAGGUGGUGCAUGGCUGUCGUCAGCUCGUGUCGUGAGAUGUUGGGUUAAGUCCCGCAACGAGCGCAACCCUUAUCUUAUGUUGCCAGCGCGUAAUGGCGGGGACUCGUGAGAGACUGCCGGGGUCAACUCGGAGGAAGGUGGGGACGACGUCAAGUCAUCAUGCCCCUUAUGUCCAGGGCUUCACACAUGCUACAAUGGCCGGUACAGAGGGCUGCGAUACCGUGAGGUGGAGCGAAUCCCUUAAAGCCGGUCUCAGUUCGGAUCGGGGUCUGCAACUCGACCCCGUGAAGUUGGAGUCGCUAGUAAUCGCAGAUCAGCAACGCUGCGGUGAAUACGUUCCCGGGCCUUGUACACACCGCCCGUCACGUCAUGAAAGUCGGUAACACCCGAAGCCGGUG